Molecule: regulatory RNA element, 45 nt
Organism: Loxodonta africana (African savanna elephant)
Lineage: Eukaryota; Metazoa; Chordata; Mammalia; Proboscidea; Elephantidae
Rfam family: Histone 3' UTR stem-loop
About the family: The mRNAs of metazoan histone genes lack a poly-A tail.
Source: Rfam
CCUAAGGCUCUUUUCAGAGCCACCCACAUUCUCAGAAAAUAGCUG